GCUAAAGACCCCACUGAAUUCUGUACUGCCUUUCAUUAAAUCAUUGUGUCUUUAAAAAAAAAUAAUCGAUUGUAUCGUGUUUUGUAUACAGUAUAAGCAUUAUAUUUUGUUACUGGCCAUUUUUUAUCUCCCAAUUCGGCGCCACGUUGUCUGGUGAGGAUGGUAAGAGGGGGGUGGGUGGCAUGAUGCAGCGGAUUCCCUCAAUCUGCCAUUUCGUUUCCGGCACCUCGUGGUAGAUCAUCUCUUGCUUUCCUCGUUAGUCCCUUCACAAAAAAUGCAGAUUGAUCCUAUCUCUAAGUUAGGCAGAGAUUUGAAAUUCUCGAUCUCAACCAGAAAUAGAACUAGGUACUUCGGACCUGAACUCAAUUCAUACGUAAUCCCGGAGAGGAACUCGGAGGUAUUCGUAGGCCGCCUACCUUCCAAGACAUUUGAGGAUAAGAUAUAUCCUUUUUUCGCUAAAGCCGGACAGAUCUAUAGGAUCAAGUUGCUGCUGAAGAUGGACGGAGGCAAUAAAGGAUACUGCUUCGUGAAGUACACGACAGAAGCAGAAGCCUCCAAUGCCGUGGCCACAUUGAAUGGAGUGGAGUUCCCCGGAGCCCCCCACGGUCUGUACAUCACUCGCAGCACCGACCACCGUACCCUCAUGGUCACCGGGGCAGAGGUCUCGCUGGAGAAAGUUUGCCAGGAUAUACAGAUGCGAGUGGAUGGACACUUCAACGCGACUACGGUCGUUGGAAAUUCUGCUGUGUACCUUCUGGAGUUUCAAGAGCACUUUCAGGCCAUCCUUGUUAUAAGAAUGUUCGGGCCCCGAACCGCAAGUUACUGGGGUCCCAUGGCUGUGUUGGACUGGCAACCUAACGAACAAGUUCAACAGAGAGAACUGGAGAAAAGGAUGCAGUCACUGUCAAUAUUUCCUGCGAUUGAUGAAUUAAACAUUACCAUCCCCGAUAGUAUGUCAAUGGGAGCAGCAGAUUCAGACUCUGGUUUAGGAAGCGCUUCGAGCACUGGUUCUUUGCAACUCCAAACUCAUUCCGCCCCUCUCAGGUUCGAGCCACUCCCUGGACAUACUAACAAUAACUUCACUAUCUAUGAGCCAACUAAUGGUUCUUUACAACUCCAAACUCAUUCUGCCCCUCUCAGCUUCGAGCCACUCACUGGACAUACUGACAAUAACUUCACCAUCUAUGAGCCAACUAAUGGUUCUUUACAACUCCAGACUCAUUCAGUUCCUCCUGGGUUCGAGCCACUCUCUGGACAUCCUAACAAUAACUUGGUCACCAAUAAGACAACUAAUGAUGGUAUACAUAUUGUCUGCACCAAGUUUUCGGAUUGCUCUUGGCUUUGUAAAUCUGAGAUUACUGAUGGGCAAUGUCCUAUGAAAAAGAUUCUAGAAACAUACCCAAAGAUCGUCAAACUAAACAACAACGUAGUCAAUGCCUGUUCUACAAUGGAGUACAAGGUCCUCUCCGCUUGUACCGGUCUGUACUUAGCAUACUAUCGUGGGGAUAGUAAGCAAGUGGCAAUUACAGAUGAAACUGCACCAAAAGAUACCCAGUGCUCCAUGAAGUCAUCAAGGACCAAUAACACUGACACUUUCAAAGAGCGUGAUUAUGAUGAAACUGCACCAAAAGAUACCCAGUGCUCCAUAAAGUCAUCAAGGACCAAUAACACUGACACUUUCAAAGAGCGUGAUUAUGAUGAAACUGCACCAAAAAAUACCCAGUGCUCCAUGAAGUCAUCAAGGACCAAUAACACUGACACUUUCAAAGAGCGUGAUUAUGAGUGGCUGUAUAAAUGUGGGCUGGAAAUGGAUCUCAAUUGUGGUUAUGUUCCUAUUACCGUUUUCAGAAAUACGUGUUUCCAAGUCUACAGACAAAUGGUUCUUUCGGAUAAUCCUGAGGAUAGAAGUAAUGCAGCUGUAAUCCAUACUUUACUGAAGAAGGCAUUGAUCUCUGAAUUAGAAUUAUUUCAACGAAAUGAAGAGUACAUCAUGAAAAUGGCUACACCUCCAUGUGUUCAUGUCAUUGAUGACUGUUCUUUUAAAUUAAUCAUUCAAAAAGAAUACAAGAAAUUGUCUUUAUUGACCGAUGCUGCAAAUAUGAAAAGAGCAAACAUCAUCUUUAAGUUUUGGAAGAAAAUUAUGGAGUUAACAAAGACAUAAAAAACUUAUCUCAUCAGAAGGGCCUGUCACUGCACCAUUAGAGUGUGGCAAUGAUACCUAGAAGGAAAACCGCUGUAUCAACGCUAAAGACUGUCAUAAAUGGAGAGCCCUUUAAGAUGUAACCAGAAAAAUGGUACUUGUGUUUCUUCACUUUUCUGUCAUGUUCCUUUUCUGAUAUUGAUUGCUCAAUCGUAUGCAUUUUUAACUUUAUAUUAUUAUACUAUUAUUAACACAUAGAAUUAAUCUUGAUGAAGCGCAACAUUUGUUUUACUCAAUUAGAAUUCUGAAAUAAGCACAUGUAAUAUUAAGUGAGUAACUAAUUAUCAUUUAAAUAAUUUGAACGAUUAUAACUUAUAAUAUUAAACAAUCUUUUAAAAUACUUAUUUGAUUACAUACAAUUAAUUAUGAUGAUGAUAAUAAUUAGUCACUUGUUUAACCAAAUACAGAUGUGCGUGCUCUCUCUCUCCCUAAUUAUAAUUUAUAUUUUAUCCUCUUUUUUCAUAAACAGUCACAAGAUACAUUCUUUCCCACAGUUUUUCCAUCUGUAUAUUUUGUUAUGUACUGUUAUCUGCAAUAUAAUUCUGCGUAUAUACAUGUUGUGUUAUCAACUUUAAUUUGAUUUUAAUUAAUUAUUUUAUAUUCUUAAAUUAUAUUGAUUUUGAUCUCUAGAGUGUGUAUUACAUAUUUGAUCUACUUUAUUUUAUGUAUAUGUUGUAUGUUUUUACUUGUUUCUUAUUGUAAUUUUUAGGAGUAAUUGUAAAUUGUAAGUAAGCAUAAAUUAGCUUAAUGUAAGUUGAUAUUGUGCAAUGUACUGAAACAUGAUGUUCCUUUAUUAUAAUUAUUUCUACUAUUUGUACUGUAAACAACUUUCAGUACUUCAAGUUUGUACUGAAUUUUUCAAAAUAAACUUUUAUACAUUUUGUA
This is an RNA transcript of Homalodisca vitripennis (glassy-winged sharpshooter), 3085 nucleotides long. RefSeq lists it as uncharacterized. The record is from RefSeq and is a predicted model, not a curated record. The transcript is spliced from 17 exons. NCBI's taxonomy places the organism in Eukaryota, Metazoa, Arthropoda, Insecta, Hemiptera, Cicadellidae.